This 394-nucleotide ribosomal RNA is filed under the name uncultured Nitrospina sp. RNAcentral's name for it is "bacterial SSU rRNA". It matches the Rfam family "Bacterial small subunit ribosomal RNA", at positions 29 to 410 of the family's 1533-position model. Lineage: Bacteria; Pseudomonadati; Nitrospinota; Nitrospinia; Nitrospinales; Nitrospinaceae. The record is from RNAcentral.
AACGAACGCUGGUGGCGUGCUUAACACAUGCAAGUCGAACGAGAAAGUUUCCUUCGGGAAAUUAGUAAAGUGGCGCAAGGGUGAGUAUCACGUGAAUAAUCUGCCCUCGAGAUCGGGGAUAACAUGGUGAAAACUAUGCUAAUACCGGAUAAGACCACAUUUCAUAAGAAAUGUGGUAAAAAGGAGUCUCAAUCUUCACUCGGGGGAUGAGUUCGCGCAACAUUAGCUUGUUGGUGAGAUAAAAGCUCACCAAGGUUACGAUGUUUAGCCGGCCUGAGAGGGUGAACGGCCACACUGGAACUGAGACACGGUCCAGACUCCUACGGAGGCAGCAGUGGGGAAUAUUGACGCAAUGGGCGAAAAGCCUAGACGCAGCAACGCCGUGUGAGCGAUG